This is a long non-coding RNA of Pseudoliparis swirei, 1298 nucleotides long. RefSeq lists it as uncharacterized. The record is from RefSeq and is a predicted model, not a curated record. NCBI's taxonomy places the organism in Eukaryota, Metazoa, Chordata, Actinopteri, Perciformes, Liparidae. The transcript has 2 exons.
GCCUUUACAAUCUGAUAACUCUGAUGAGUCAGACGAUCAUGAAAAACAACCAGUUAGUCAGAAGAAAUAUAUACAAUGAUGUUCUCUUCAAUGCUUAGUUUACAGUAUUCUUCCCAUCUUCAGUAUAACCUUUAAAUAAAACAAAUAGUAGAAACUGAUUUUAACAGCUGAGGCUAACCUCUGAUGUGAGGUCACAAGUACUGAUACUUCACUUUAUGAGCAAAUAACUGCAAAAAAGUUAUGUCCUGUAUACCAUUCAUGUCUUAUCAUAAGCAGGAUAUGUUUGGGUUUUGGACUAAUGGUUGGAAAAAAACCAGUAAUAUGAAUACGUCAAUUAGGGUUCGGUGAAACUGUGAUAAGCAUUAUUUUUACUUCAAAAUAAUGAAUCGUGUAAAUAAUCUGCAGUUUGGAAAACAAUUGUUAACUGGCCGUAUCCUAUUGUCAACGUAGUGGCCUCUAAGUGCAUGUUGAGGAGGUGUAAAACAAGAAUAGACAAUCCAGCCCUCUCAUGGUGUUUGUUCUGAGGCAAAAGGACAAAUACAAACAUAUUGAUACAUAACACAGAAAUGCAGGAACUGGCAGUGGAGAAGAAGAAAACUUAAAUUCUCCCUUUGGCCACAGGGUGAGGCUCUCUGCUCACUGCAUACCCAUCUAAUCAUCUACUCAUGCAGCGUUGCAUGGCAAGGGUCAAAGGGCACCUCUGGUUGGCCUGCACCUCGAGGCCAACUGACCAAUAUCCAACCGGGCAGGAUGCAGUCACACAACUUUACAGACAUCUGGAAUGUAACCAAAGCAAGCUGCAGGGACAGAAAAUGUAGUUGGAGCCCACUCGUUCUCUCCCAACAUCUUCCCACUGCCUGCAUCAUCCGUCCAGAGAGAGAGAGAGAGAGAGGCAGAAAGACGGAAGGAGUGAGUGUGUUGUCAAGAAGGCUGACUCUUGAGGCCAGCCGUGUUCGAAACAUGGCAGCGUCAAGGGAUGCCGUUGUGCCUUUGAGGUCCUGUCGUCAUGGGUCUGUAACCAAGAGUGCUAUACUGUGGCUGUGGAGCCCCGGGCAUUUCUUAUCCCUCCAUUCCCAGUUUAUCCCUUCCUUUUCUGUUCCACAGGAAAAGAAGAACGCCGUUGUGAGAGAACCGAAAUCUUCACAGAGAGAAUGAAAGUGUCUGUAAUAUAAUGGCGACAGGCCGAGAGUCAAUCAGUUCAAAUGAAGGAGCAGACAGACAGCCACACGCGCUUUAUUAUAGGUACACGUUUGCUAUUUAAUGCGAUCCAAUAAAACUGCUCUGCCCUUCAGUCUAUA